Non-coding RNA from Lonchura striata (white-rumped munia), 125 nucleotides. NCBI's taxonomy places the organism in Eukaryota, Metazoa, Chordata, Aves, Passeriformes, Estrildidae. The record is from RefSeq and is a predicted model, not a curated record.
AGAGGAUCACAAUUCUUAAGCUUACUCCGUCAGAUCAUCUCUUACUUCUGUGCUGUCAAGAGGAUUAUAAUGAGCAAUACAUGCCCACUGCUUCUUGUUCUUCCCACCAUGGACAUCUGACAUUC